CCGCGGUAAUACGUAGGGGGCGAGCGUUGUCCGGAUUUAUUGGGCGUAAAGAGCUCGUAGGCGGUUCAACAAGUCGGUCGUGAAAGUUCAGGGCUCAACCCUGAAAUGUCGAUCGAUACUGUUGUGACUAGGAUACGGUAGAGGUGAGUGGAAUUCCGAGUGUAGCGGUGAAAUGCGUAGAUAUUCGGAGGAACACCAAUUGCGAAGGCAGCUCACUGGGCCGCUAUCGACGCUGAGGAGCGAAAGCUAGGGGAGCAAACAGG
Molecule: ribosomal RNA, 263 nt
Filed under: uncultured bacterium
Lineage: Bacteria
Description: partial 16S ribosomal RNA
Rfam family: Bacterial small subunit ribosomal RNA
Source: RNAcentral